Molecule: non-coding RNA, 1302 nt
Organism: Chlorocebus sabaeus (green monkey)
Lineage: Eukaryota; Metazoa; Chordata; Mammalia; Primates; Cercopithecidae
Source: RefSeq, a predicted model, not a curated record
UUCACCAUGUUAGCCAGGAUGGUCUCGAUCUCCUGACCUUCCGAUCCGCCCGUCUCGGCCUCCCAAAGUGCUGGGAUUACAGGCUUGAGCUACCGCACCCGGCCUGGAGCACUUUUUUUUAAGCACCCCCAUCACAUGCAGUCGGUCAGAGACUCAGGGACGCGCCGGUAGAACCCCGUCUCCAUUUUGCUCAUGGACAGGCACACGUGUUCACGCGCACCCCACCCCUCCUCCCGGUCCAGCCUCACCUCCUCCCUGCACAUCUGACCCUGUGUGGGGUGAGGUCAGGGAAUAGAUGAGGAUAGGAGCAGGUGGGGAAUGAAUGGAGCUUUGAUAGGUCCUGAGCUUCCCCCAACUGCCACAUACUUUCUCAGGCCCACCCUGGGAGCCCCUCCCCAGCUGAGGAGGUAGGUGAGAGCCGCUGCUGUCUGUGGGCUGCCAGCCCGCUGUGUUCUUCUGCAACCAGGAGGGCCGACAUGGGCUGUGUGUGUGCUAGGGGGUGUCACGAGUUCACUCAGUAAACCCUCCCCUAUGGGGUGCCAACCCUCUGCCUCUCACUCCUGAUGGAUGGCUCACGCUGCCACCUGGGACAAACCGCUCUGUGUGGGACCAGUGGUUGCAUUUCUCUCUGGGGCCUGGGAUGCCUGGGGUCCGUGGGUUCCCGCCGACCACUGGGCACGGACAAGCUGCCCCCACCAGGCAGGGAGCAGCCAGAGAGAAUGAAGGGCAAGGAGGCUGCUGAGGCAGAGGGAGUCGGCGAGGGAUGCAGGACAUCGGUGGACUCGGCCCCUGAUCUUGCAGGUGACCCCAGGCCAGGUGCAGCCCCUCUCUGGCCUCAGUUUCCCCCUCAGUGAAUGGCGCCCUCGAAACCCCUCCCAGCUCUGACAUGGGAGUUACUCUUUCCUGGAACCCUUCCCUAGCCCCCUUUCUUCCUUCAGACAUUUCUGCAGCAAGUGCUUAUUGAACACCGACGGCAUACCAAGGACCCAGCGCAGCCUGGGACGGCCGGCGCUUCAGUGAUGCGGUGCCUUCUGUGAUUGACAUCUGCAGCAAGCGCUGCCGGCCGGGGUCCCAGGAGCUCCCCAGCCAAGGGCCGCGGGGACCCCAGGCUGUGCCUGAGACCAGGGAGAAACACGCAUGAGGCUGUCCCACAGUCCCCACCACCAGGAGCACGCCAUUCCUAGUGGGCGAGAGGACCCCAGCAUGAUUUGAAAAUGACGACAUUGUUUCCAGUAAGAACCACGUAACAAUAACAAUCGGCAAUAAACCGUCUCCAGAUUUGCGCUUUAGCUUUAAAGCCAA